GUCUUUUUGAUUUUAAUUUAAAGUCUGACCUGCCCAAUGAUUAUUUGAAUGGCCGCAGUAUUUUGACUGUGCAAAGGUAGCAUAAUCAUUAGUUUUUUAAUUGAAAGCUGGAAUGAAUGGUUUGAUGAGGAAAUAGCUGUCUCAAUUUAAUUGAAUUAGAAUUUUAAUUUUGAGUUAAAAAGCUUAAAUUAUUUAUAAAGACGAGAAGACCCUAUAGAGUUUAAUAUUUUAAUUUUUAAUUUAUUUGAGGUUUUAGUAAUUUUUUAUAAGUUAGGAUAUUUUGUUGGGGUGAUGUAAAAAUUUAAAUAACUUUUUAUUUUUUAAGACAUUUAUUUAUGAAUAUUUGAUCCUGAUUUUUGGAUUAUAAGAUUAAAUUACCUUAGGGAUAACAGCGUAAUUUUUUCGGAGAGUUCUUAUCAAUGAAAAAGUUUGCG
Molecule: ribosomal RNA, 434 nt
Filed under: Zophosis punctata
Lineage: Eukaryota; Metazoa; Arthropoda; Insecta; Coleoptera; Tenebrionidae
Description: partial 16S ribosomal RNA
Source: RNAcentral